GAUGAACGCUAGCUACAGGCUUAACACAUGCAAGUCGCGGGGCAGCAUGGGGGUUGCUUGCAAUCCCCGAUGGCGACCGGCGCACGGGUGAGUAACGCGUAUCCAACCUGCCCUUCACCACGGGAUAACCCGGCGAAAGUCGGACUAAUACCGUAUGUUGUCCAUUGACGGCAUCCGAUUUGGACGAAAGGCUUGGCGGUGAGGGAUGGGGAGGCGUCCGAUUAGCCAGACGGCGGGGUAACGGCCCACCGUGGCUACGAUCGGUAGGGGUUCUGAGAGGAAGGUCCCCCACACUGGAACUGAGACACGGUCCAGACUCCUACGGGAGGCAGCAGUGAGGAAUAUUGGUCAAUGGGCGUAAGCCUGAACCAGCCAAGUAGCGUGCAGGAUGACGGCCCUAUGGGUUGUAAACUGCUUUUAUGCGGGGAUAAAGUGGCCCACGUGUGGGCUUUUGCAGGUACCGCAUGAAUAAGGACCGGCUAAUUCCGUG
This 490-nucleotide ribosomal RNA is filed under the name uncultured bacterium. RNAcentral's name for it is "partial 16S ribosomal RNA". It matches the Rfam family "Bacterial small subunit ribosomal RNA", at positions 28 to 507 of the family's 1533-position model. The record is from RNAcentral.